This 146-nucleotide non-coding RNA is filed under the name Agromyces sp. RNAcentral describes it as "FMN sequence". It matches the Rfam family "FMN riboswitch aptamer (RFN element)". From Rfam's summary of the family: The RFN element is a highly conserved domain that is found frequently in the 5'-untranslated regions of prokaryotic mRNAs that encode for flavin mononucleotide (FMN) biosynthesis and transport proteins. This element is a metabolite-dependent riboswitch that directly binds FMN in the absence of proteins. RNAcentral also lists the same sequence under 1 other name. The record is from RNAcentral. Lineage: Bacteria; Bacillati; Actinomycetota; Actinomycetes; Micrococcales; Microbacteriaceae.
AAACGUGCUCCGGGGUCGGUGCAAGUCCGAACCGGCGGUGAUAGUCCGCGAGCCGGGAGCGCGUGGCCGUCCGGCCGCGCGCGAACGGUUGAACCGGUGGAACUCCGGUACCGACGGUGAAAGUCCGGAUGGGAGGCGGCACGGGU